This 1125-nucleotide long non-coding RNA is filed under the name Homo sapiens (human). Its description in RNAcentral is "non-protein coding LINC00847:27". The record is from RNAcentral. Lineage: Eukaryota; Metazoa; Chordata; Mammalia; Primates; Hominidae.
AUUCCCGACCUCCGCACCCUACCCGGUCCGCAGGGCACCUUCCUCCUCUCUCUCAGGCACGUCCUCGACCUCAGUUGCCACGUGCACAUGCUGGUGCCUUCCAGGCUGGAGUAUAGUGGCAUGAUCAUAGAUCACUGCAGCCUCAAACUCCUGGGCUCAAGCGAUCCUCCCACCUCAGCCUCCAUAUAGCUGGUGGGGACCAAGUUUCUAACACAUGAAUGUUGGGAGACACAUUCAGACCAUCGCAGUGGCCUUAUAAAAAGAGACACAAGAGCUUGCUCUCUGCCAUGUGAGAAUACCACAAGAAGACUGUCCUCAGCAAAUCAGAAAGCGGGUGGACCCUCAUCAGACACCAGAUGUGCCUGCACCUUGAUCUUGGACUUGCCAGCCUUCAGAACAGUAAGAAAGAAAUGUGUGUUGUUUAAGCCACCCAGUCUAUGGUAACUUGCUAUAGCAGCCCACUAGGAGACCCCAAGAUAUUUAAAAACUCAUCAGCACCUGCUUUCUGCAUCUGGACCCUGAUCUUCUGGUGGGUUUACCAGUUACUUGUAGAGUGUCCCUGUGAUAGUUUUAGGUGUCAACUUGACAGGAUUGAGGGAUGCCUAGAUGGCUGGGGAAGCACUGUUUCUGAGAAGGACCAUGUUUUUGGAGGAGACUGUUUUAUGAGUGAAUUUCAGGGGACACAUUCAGAUCAUGGCAGUGGCAUUAUAAAGAGAGACACAAAAGCUUGCUCUCUCUCUCUGCCAUGUAAGACUACCACACAAAGACUGCCAUCUGCAAACCAGAAGCAGGUGGGCUUUCCUCAGACACCAGAUCUGCCUGCACCUUGAUCUUGGACUUGCCAGCCUUCCAACUUGGAUCAGGCCAUGCCACCGGCUUCUCUGAUUCUCCAGCUUGCAGAUGGUAUAUUGUGACCCUGGCAUUUAAUAACUAUGACUUUGGUCUUAAGCAAUUUUCUUCCUCUGUGGAUUGAUAUUUACAUAUCAAUGUGGAUAAUAAUUUCUUACCACGGUAACUGUUGUGAGGUAAAAAUGAGUUAACAUAAGUAAAACCGAGCACAUGCAAACCAUCCGAAAUGGUUAAUACUUACUAUUUGUACUUGAAGAAAUAAAUGUUUUUGACAAU